This is a microRNA precursor of Oryza sativa Japonica Group (Japanese rice), 206 nucleotides long. It matches the Rfam family "MIR812 microRNA precursor family". NCBI's taxonomy places the organism in Eukaryota, Viridiplantae, Streptophyta, Magnoliopsida, Poales, Poaceae. The record is from Rfam.
AAAAAAAACAAACCCUGGUUUCCGUGUACAAUGUUUGAUCGUCCGUCUUAUUUGAAAAAAAUAUGAAAAAAAUUAAAAAGACAAGUCACACAUAAAAUAUUAAUCAUGUUUUAUCAUCUAACAACAAUGAAAAUACGAAUUAUAAAAAAAUUUCAUAUAAAACGGACAGUCAAAGUUGGACACGGAAACCCAUGGUUUGCCUUUUU